GACGAACGCUGGCGGCGUGCUUAACACAUGCAAGUCGAACGGAAAGGCCCUGCUUUUGUGGGGUGCUCGAGUGGCGAACGGGUGAGUAACACGUGAGUAACCUGCCCUUGACUUUGGGAUAACUUCAGGAAACUGGGGCUAAUACCGGAUAGGAGCUCCUGCUGCAUGGUGGGGGUUGGAAAGUUUCGGCGGUUGGGGAUGGACUCGCGGCUUAUCAGCUUGUUGGUGGGGUAGUGGCUUACCAAGGCUUUGACGGGUAGCCGGCCUGCGAGGGUGACCGGCCACAUUGGGACUGAGAUACGGCCCAGACUCCUACGGGAGGCAGCAGUGGGGAAUAUUGCACAAUGGGCGGAAGCCUGAUGCAGCAACGCCGCGUGCGGGAUGACAGCCUUCGGGUUGUAAACCGCUUUCGCCUGUGACGAAGCGUGAGUGACGGUAAUGGGUAAAGAAGCACCGGCUAACUACGUG
Molecule: ribosomal RNA, 468 nt
Filed under: uncultured bacterium
Lineage: Bacteria
Description: partial 16S ribosomal RNA
Rfam family: Bacterial small subunit ribosomal RNA
Source: RNAcentral